GAUGAACGCUGGCGGCGUGCCUAAUACAUGCAAGUCGAGCGAAGCGGGGACGGGUGCGUAACACGUGGAUAACCUCCUAUAACUCUGGAAUAACUUCGGGAAACCCGAGCUAAACCGGCUACUUAUCGAUUGCUCCGCGCUGCAUUAGCUAGUUGGUAAGGUAACGGCUUACCAAGGCAACGAUGCAUAGCCGACCGGAGAGGGUGAUCGGCCACACUGGAACUGAGACACGGUCCAGACUCCUACGGGAGGCAGCAGUAGGGAAUCUUCCGCAAUGGGCGAAAGCCUGACGGAGCAACGCCGCGUGAGUGAUGAAGGUCUUCGGAUCGUAAAACUCUGUUAUUAGGGAAGCGGUACCUAAUCAGAAAGCCACGGCUAACUACGUGCCAGCAGCCGCGGUAAUAC
This 405-nucleotide ribosomal RNA is filed under the name uncultured bacterium. RNAcentral's name for it is "partial 16S ribosomal RNA". It matches the Rfam family "Bacterial small subunit ribosomal RNA", at positions 28 to 526 of the family's 1533-position model. The record is from RNAcentral.